AACGCAUCUUGCGCUCUCUGGUAUUCCGGAGAGCAUGUCUGUUUGAGUGUCAUGAAUUCUUCAACCCAAUCUUUUCUUGUAAUCGAUUGGUGUUUGGAUUCUGAGCGCUGCUGGCUUCGGCCUAGCUCGUUCGUAAUACAUUAGCAUCCCUAAUACAAGUUUGGAUUGACUUGGCGUAAUAGACUAUUCGCUAAGGAUUCGGUGGAAACAUCGAGCCAGCUUAAUUAAGGAAGCUCCUAAUUUAAAAGUCUACCUUUUGAUUAGAUCUCAAAUCAGGCAGGAUUACCCGCUGAACUUAA
RNAcentral lists this unclassified non-coding RNA (299 nucleotides) under uncultured fungus. RNAcentral's name for it is "partial contains 5.8S rRNA and ITS2". The stretch from base 1 to 52 matches the Rfam family "5.8S ribosomal RNA", at positions 103 to 154 of the family's 154-position model. The record is from RNAcentral. Lineage: Eukaryota; Fungi.